GAUGAACGCUGGCGGCGUGCUUAACACAUGCAAGUCGAACGUGAGAGGUAGCAAUAUCUUGAAAGUGGCGCACGGGUGAGUAACACGUAGGUAACCUGCCUCGGAGUGGGGAUAACAGUUAGAAUGACUGCUAAUACCGCAUGAAUCCAUUAAGAUGGGAAUGUUGAUGGAGAAAACUCUGGUAACUUCGAGAGGGGCCUGCGGUCGAUUAGCUAGUUGGCGGGUAACGCCACAAGGCGACGAUCGAUAGCUGGUCUGAGAGACGAUCAGCCACACGGGAACUGAGACACGGUCCCGACUCCUACGGGGGCAGCAGUGAGGAAUAUUGGGCAAU
Molecule: ribosomal RNA, 334 nt
Filed under: uncultured bacterium
Lineage: Bacteria
Description: bacterial SSU rRNA
Rfam family: Bacterial small subunit ribosomal RNA
Source: RNAcentral